This 235-nucleotide long non-coding RNA is filed under the name Capsicum annuum. Its description in RNAcentral is "long non-coding RNA (CANN_LNC001881)". Lineage: Eukaryota; Viridiplantae; Streptophyta; Magnoliopsida; Solanales; Solanaceae. The record is from RNAcentral.
CUUUGCUUUUGAUCUAGUGAAGUAAGGAUGACUAGCCAAAGUACUACAAACCAACCACUUUUAUCAGAAAGAACAUGCUCAUCAAAGACAAACCCUGUUAGGAUUAGGUCAGGCAAAAAGCAUGGAAAUCACAUUACAUACAUCCUAGAUUCAUGCGCAUUUAUACCAGCUUUUGAGGGUAAUGAGGCCAUUUUAACAUCAUCCUGAUCUUUCUCCUACACUUAUUUGCUUCUUC